RNAcentral lists this ribosomal RNA (368 nucleotides) under uncultured organism. RNAcentral describes it as "bacterial SSU rRNA". It matches the Rfam family "Bacterial small subunit ribosomal RNA", at positions 526 to 896 of the family's 1533-position model. The record is from RNAcentral.
CGGAGGGUGCAAGCGUUAUCCGGAUUCACUGGGUUUAAAGGGAGCGCAGGCGGACUGGUAAGUCAGUGGUGAAAUACCUGAGCUUGACUCGGGAACUGCCAUUGAUACUAUCAGUCUUGAAUGUUGUUGAGGUUUGCGGAAUGGGUCAUGUAGCGGUGAAAUGCAUAGAUAUGACCCGGAACACCUAUUGCGAAGGCAGCAGGCUAAACAAAUAUUGACGCUGAGGCUCGAAAGCGUGGGGAUCAAACAGGAUUAGAUACCCUGGUAGUCCACGCCCUAAACGAUGAUUACUCGACAUACGCGAUACACUGUGUGUGUCUGAGCGAAAGCAUUAAGUAAUCCACCUGGGAAGUACGACCGCAAGGUUG